Molecule: ribosomal RNA, 2123 nt
Filed under: uncultured Latescibacterota bacterium
Lineage: Bacteria; Pseudomonadati; Candidatus Latescibacterota
Description: uncultured Latescibacteria bacterium partial 23S ribosomal RNA
Rfam family: Bacterial large subunit ribosomal RNA
Source: RNAcentral
UUUUUGGUCAAGUUAUGAAGGGCAUACGGUGGAUGCCUUGGUGCCAGCAAGCGAUGAAGGACGUGGCAAGCUGCGAUAAGCCUCGGUGAGGAGCAAACAUCCUUUGACCCGAGGAUUUCCGAAUGAGGCAACCCCGCGCGGGUCAUGCCGCGCGAUCCCUGGCUGAAUAAAAUAGGCCGGGCGAGGCGAACGGAGGGAACUGAAACAUCUCAGUACCUCCAGGAAUGGAAAGCAAAAGCGACUUCCCUAGUAGCGGCGAGCGAACGGGAACUAUGCCUAAACCGAGCUGUACGUUAAAGCCCGUGCGCGUUGUGCAGCCGGUGUCGUGGGGCCCAAUCUGACCGGGGUACGGCCUGGUCGGGGAGUUACAAACCUUAACUCUAGCCGAACGGCCUGGGAAGGCCGACCAUAGCGGGUGAUAGUCCCGUAGGCGAAAGGGUGAGGGCUCCCUGGAAUGGGUACCCAAGUACCGCGGGACACGAGGAAUCCCGUGGGAAUCUGGGAGGACCACCUCUCAAGGCUAAGUAUUCGCUGGCGACCGAUAGCGAACCAGUACCGUGAGGGAAAGGUGAAAAGAACUCCUGGCGGAGAGUGAAAUAGAACCUGAAACCGUGUGCCUACAAGCGGUCGGAGGGUCCUGUGCAAGCUUCGGCUUGUGCGGGCCUAACGGCGUGCCUUUUGCAUAAUGAACCGGCGAGUUGCUAGAGCGUAGCGAGGUUAAGCGUCUAUGACGCGGAGCCGGAGCGAAAGCGAGUCUUAAUCGGGCGAAUAUAGUUGCGCUCUGCAGACCCGAAGCCGAGUGAUCUACACAUGGCCAGGCUGAAGCGCGUGUAGCAAUGCGUGAAGGGCCGAACCAGUAAGCGUUGAAAAGCUUUUGGAUGAGCUGUGUGUAGGGGUGAAAGGCCAAUCAAACUCGGAGAUAGCUGGUUCUCCCCGAAAUAGCUUUAGGGCUAGCCUCGGGCAAUAGAGUGACGGAGGUAGAGCACUGAUUGGGCUAGGGGGUUCCACCGACCUACCGAUCCCAGUCAAACUCCGAAUGCCGUUAUCUCGAUACCCGGGAGUCAGCGUGCGGGUGCUAAGAUUCGCAUGCGAGAGGGAAACAACCCAGACCAACAGCUAAGGUCCCUAAGUAUUGGCUAAGUGCUUUAAGGAUGUGGGAUUGCCCAGACAGCUGGGAUGUUGGCUUAGAAGCAGCCAUCCAUUUAAAGAGUGCGUAAUUGCUCCACCAGUCAAGCGGCCCCGCGCCGAGAAUUGUCGGGACUAAGCCAGUCACCGAAGCUUUGGAUUCGCCCUUCGGGGCGUCUGGUAGGGGAGCGUUCCGUUGUAGGGUGAAGCUGGAUCGUGAGAUCUGGUCGACGAAACGGAAGUGAUCAUGCCGGUACGAGUAGCGAGAAAGCAGGCGAGAAACCUGCUCACCGAAAGCCUAAGGUUUCCUGAGGAAGGUUAAUCCGCUCAGGGUUAGUCGGGACUAAGCCGAGGCCGACAGGCGUAGGCGAUGGAAAACGGGUCAAUAUUCCCGUACCACUGAUAGUGCGACAAAGACGCUAUGGGGUGACGCAGGAGUGAAAGGUCAGCCGGGUGUUGGAAGUCCCGGUCUAAGCGUGUAGGGGGGCUGCGUAGGUAAAUCCGCGCGGCCACUACCUCGAGACGCGAUGGGGAGUCCCUUUGGGACAUAAACUGAUCCUAAUCAUGCUGCCAAGAAAAGCCUCUAUGCGAGUACUGUCGGUGCCCGUACCGCAAACCGACACAGGUAGGCGGGGAGAGAAUCCUAAGGUGCUCGAGAGAACGGUGGUUAAGGAACUCGGCAAAAUGACCCCGUAACUUCGGGAUAAGGGGUGCCCUUUGCGGUGAACUCUUUACGAGGUAAGCUGCGAGGGGCCGCAGAGAAUCGGCCUGAGCGACUGUUUACUAAAAACACAGGUCUCUGCCAAGCCGUAAGGCAACGUAUAGGGACUGACACCUGCCCGGUGCCGGAAGGUUAAGGGGAUGCGUUAGCACUUCGGUGCGAAGCGUUGAGCCGAAGCCCCGGUAAACGGCGGCCGUAACUAUAACGGUCCUAAGGUAGCGAAAUUCCUUGUCGGGUAAGUUCCGACCUGCACGAAUGGUGUAACGACUUGGGCGCU